GCGAUUCGCCCUUCGGGGUGCCCAGGCGCGAAAACUUUACAAUGCUGGCAACAGCGAUAAGGGGACCUUGAGUGCCAGGAUACAAUCUUGGCUGUCGUCGUGUCUAAAAAACACGAUAUAGCAAGGGCCGGGCAAGACCGGUGCCAGCCGCCGCGGUAACACCGGCGGCUCGAGUGGUAACCGCUAUUAUUGGGUCUAAAGGGUCUGUAGCCGGCUUGGUUAGUCUCUUGGGAAAUCCGGCAGCUUAACUGUCGGGCUUUCAGGAGAUACUGCCAGGCUCGAGACCGGGAGAGGUGAGAGGUACUUCAUGGGUAGGGGUGAAAUCUUGUAAUCCUUGAAGGACCACCAGUGGCGAAGGCGUCUCACCAGAACGGAUCUGACGGCAAGGGACGAAAGCUAGGGGCACGAACCGGAUUAGAUACCCGGGUAGUCCUAGCCGUAAACGAUACUCGCUAGGUGUCGGCCACGGUGCGACCGUGGUCGGUGCCGUAGGGAAGCCGUGAAGCGAGCCACCUGGGAAGUACGGCCGCAAGGCUGAAACUUAAAGGAAUUGGCGGGGGAGCAC
RNAcentral lists this ribosomal RNA (565 nucleotides) under uncultured archaeon. RNAcentral's name for it is "bacterial SSU rRNA". It matches the Rfam family "Archaeal small subunit ribosomal RNA", at positions 313 to 879 of the family's 1478-position model. The record is from RNAcentral.